CUAUCAAGCCUGGCUUGGUAUUGGGCCCUGCCUGUAACACGGCUGGCUUUAAAAUCAGUGGCGGUGCCGCCUGGCUCUAAGCGUAGUAACUUUUCUCGCUAUUGUGCCCGGCGGUUGCUUGCCAACAACCCCUAAUUCAAUAGGUUUGACCUCGGAUCGGGUAGGGAUACCCGCUGAACUUAAGCAUAUCAAUAAGCGGAGGAAAAGAAACCAACAGGGAUUACCUUAGUAACGGCGAGUGAAGCGGUAACAGCUCAAAUUUGGAAUCUGGCUCUUUCAGGGUCCGAGUUGUAAUUUGUAGAAGAUGCUUCGGGUGUGGCUCCGGUCUAAGUUCCUUGGAACAGGACGUCAUAGAGGGUGAGAAUCCCGUACGUGACUGGGUGCCUAUGCUCAUGUGAAGCUCUUUCGACGAGUCGAGUUGUUUGGGAAUGCAGCUCAAAAUGGGUGGUAAAUUUCAUCUAAAGCUAAAUAUUGGCCAGAGACCGAUAGCGCACAAGUAGAGUGAUCGAAAGAUGAAAAGCACUUUGGAAAGAGAGUUAAACAGUACGUGAAAUUGUUGAAAGGGAAGCGCUUGCAACCAGACUUGCACGCUGUCGAUCAUCCGAGGUUUUCCCCGGUGCACUCGAUUGCGUUCAGGCCAGCAUCGGUUUGGGCGGUGGGAUAAAGGCCUUGGGAAUGUAGCUUCUUUCGGGGAGUGUUAUAGCCCUCGGUGCAAUGCCGCCUGCCUGGACCGAGGACCGCGCUUCGGCUAGGAUGCUGGCGUAAUGGUUGUAAGCGACCCGUCUUGAAACACGGACC
This 798-nucleotide ribosomal RNA is filed under the name uncultured fungus. RNAcentral describes it as "eukaryotic LSU rRNA". The stretch from base 147 to 798 matches the Rfam family "Eukaryotic large subunit ribosomal RNA", at positions 1 to 667 of the family's 3401-position model. The record is from RNAcentral. Lineage: Eukaryota; Fungi.